AAUCCCAAACUCUCUUCCUUCUCUAUUCUUUCUCUCUCUAGAUUAAAAACCCCAUUGGACACCAAGCUAGUGGAGGAUUUAAGGGCUGAAAAGAUCCAAGUUUCUCCAUAAAUCUUCAUCAAUUAGUAAGGUAUGAGAUUCCUUUCACCUCUUUCCUCAAAAGGUUUUAAUAAAUUGAUUUCAAAAAAUUUGUUUUUCAAGUGUGUUUUCAUCCAAUACGAAUUUGAGCUUGUGAAUUGAUUUGUUUAUGAUUUUUUUGAAUAUUAUCAAUAUACUAACACCUUUAGUUAACUGAAAAAAAAAAGAUAUUAUUUUAAAUUCUUAAAACAACUGGAUCACAUCAACUCAGAACAAAUUUCCAGCAAAUAAAAUCGCAAAAAACAAAGGAGAAAAAUAUGCAACUUCUUGCAAGGAGAACACAGACCACUAACCCAUUUAAUUUCAUGAAUAAAUAAGAAAUCCAAUGUGAGUUUUACAGUAAUAAAAAGAAAAGAAAUAGCAACUUUCUUAGAAUAAAAUUUCUCACAUUAUCACAAUUGUAACAACCUGCUAACAUAAAACCAUAAAGCAUAGACGAACUUCAGAAUUAAGACACAUCUAAGAUGCGUGAGAACUACACACAUAAUGGACGAAGCAACUAAAAAUUGACCAUGGGAGAAUGAGGACUCAAAUCAAGAAGGGAUCCAUUGAAAGCAUGGUUAAAAGUGGAAAUUCUCUCCUGUUGUGCAACAAAUAGGGACUGGCGAGCAGAUAUGAGCUGACUUCCACCAACAAAGUUCUAAAACGACUCUAAUGGCUAAUCCUCUUAUCCGUUGUUCUUGAGAAAUCUUAGCAAUGGUUUCUACCUAAAUCUUUAAUGUUCUUUCUAUUUUAUCGCUCAAACUUCACCCUAAAAGAAAAAUUUUUUACUCUAUAUCAAAACAAAUUCUCCUCUAAAGCAAAAAAAGUAAAUAAAAUAAAUAAAUUCCCCCUCAAGGGAGAAAUGAGAUUAUUUACAGAAGAAGAUUUAGGGUUUUCUUGGGCAGGAAUCUGGGGAAAUUCAGAUAAGAACCAAGGUAAAAAAAAUCUGAAUUCAUUUCGAAAUUCAAAUCCCUCCACAGGACAAGGAAAAUCUAUAUUUUCUUUACGAAAGAUUCGUCAAUUUUAAGCAAAAAAAACAAAAGAAGAAAGGGACGUAGGCGGCAUAGAUCAAUCGAUCGUCCCUGCGCCUUGACAUGGCGCCCAUCCACGCGAGCCAAGGACGAUUUCCACGGCUGUAUUGACUGAGAAACAGUUGGAUUUGGGAAAAACUGCUCCAACUCGUACCAUCUCGAAAAGGAGACUAGUCGCAUUGAAGCGCGUUGCUAAUUCACGCAUCAAAGGGGAGAAAUGCGAACACAGGGGAGGGGUUGAGCCAUGGAGGAACGCGCACCGCUGCUACGUAACGCGUGAAGAACGCGAUGCUGCCUCUGACUUCUUAUCUCUAGCAUCGCAGAAUUCAUUUUGGUGAUGAGCAAAAGGGAUUUGGAUCGGGUUGACAUAAUGUUGGGCCCAAAAUUGGGCUGGGGUUGAAUGGAUUAAUUAUUGGAAGAGUGGGCUGGGAAAUUGGGAUAUUUCAAUGAAGCCGUUGGGCUGAAAAAUUUGGGCUGGCUGCAGUAGAAGGGAUUUGGAAUUGAGCUGGAGAACUGGCUGAGGAUGUGGAGUGAGUUGCUGAAAAAAAUUGAGAGAAAACCCAAAAUAUAUUUUUUGCAAAGUGUUUUUUGAUAGUAGGUAAAUAAAAAAUGAACUGAUAAAAAUUAAUUAACAAGCUUCUUACGUUUGACGAAAUAAAGUAAUCGACUUAAUUAAGAUGUAAUUAAUCCGAAAGUGUAAACUAAUUUAGUAAAGUAUUGAACCCAAAAUAAAAUCCUUUUGAGACGAUUUUCAAAUAAUCACAAAAUAUACUAGUUAUAUACAUAACUAAGUAAAAUACAUACUCUAUCUAAAAAAGGUGAUGAGAUUAAUUAAAAUUAACUUAAAAUAUUUUAAACUUUAUAAAAUCUAAUUAUUUUUAAAAUCGGUUAGAAUUAAGAAGCUCGUUGAUUGAUUAUUAUCGUGGAGGGCCAAAAUUGAGUGUCAGCAACUGUCCCUCAUUUUUUUUGAAUUGAUACAAGAAAUUCGAGGAAAAUGAAGUUGACCAAACAGAUUUUAACCGACCACAUAUAUAUUCUUAAAAAAAGGAUUUGGCUAGGAAUUCAAGAGUUAUGGCCGAACCCCAAAACGAGUUUCCUGCAUAUCUUAGGAAAUAUGAGAAUUCAGGUCACUUGUAGUUCAAUACGCUUGAGUUAAGACAUGAUUUUGAAAGAAUUCACAAGUCAUCUCGACACCAAAUUAUGAAGGGAUCGAAAUGCUCGUGAGUAAUAUUCAAGAGCGAGAGUUGGAAUACAGUUGAGUUUUCAACAUUGAGCUUGCCUACAUAUCCUUAAACUCAAGGAAUCAAGCUGCUUGUAGUUCAACUCAAACAGUUGAAAAGGAAAUCUAUUAUGCUAGAUAACCUUUAGUUCAUGACAAGUGACAAAUUAAGUCGAGUGUGAAAAGGAGGUGUGUAACCUCUUAGUCAUGAAUGUGGUGCUCUUUACACCCAUAAAUAAAAACUUACACGGACAUUAUAAUCUUAUAUUUUCCAUAGUUUCCAUCCAAUAUUAUAAAUAGUCAUAGUUCAUUUUAAUCUAAAUCUAUUUUUAAAUCGUAUAUAUCUAUAUCUAAUUCUUGUAAAUCUAUUUCAUACCAUUCUUUAUUUAAUAUAUCUUCUAUAUCAUGAUCAAAUAUUUUUCCCAUAUAAUUCUUUUUAUGUCAACAAUUUCUAUAUCUUUAACUAUAUAUAAGAUCAAAGUUUUAUAGCUUUUUAUUUCAUCAUACAAUGUAAUCAUGUUUAUUUAUUUAUUCAGGUUUGUUUUCAAUUAUUCCUUCCUAUCAUAUCAUAAUUCAAUUAAAUUCAUAUUAGUUUAUUUUAAACUAGAGUAUCAUUAUCAUGUUUUUAGGUCACUACUAGUAUCGUACUUUAGCAGAUAAUUAUUGCUUAUCAGCGCCUCAACCUUGUGUACUCCCCUAACGGCAUCCCCCGCCUACCGGUUUCCACUGUGGGAUGACAUAGUCUAGCAGUUUUCUCCCUGUUUCCCGUUUACUAGCAAACUAGAAUUCAUGAUUCAAAUAUUUCUACUAUAUAUUCAAUAACAUAAAUUUAAUCAAUCAUAUAUGAUAUUCAGGAAUAUAUGAAAUUAGUUCUGCAUAAUUGUUAAACAAUAUACCUUUGUCUCUUGAUUUUCCAUGCUAUCUAAAAUAUUUGACUUGAUUUCGGAUUUCUCCAUUUUUAACUUAGUCUAUAUCUUUUGUCGAGAGAGGUUUUUGAAAGGCUUUUUAUUAACUUAAGCUUUUGUUUGGUCUUGCCUGCCUCUCAUUUACAGUUUGGCAAUCUAUAUAUACUAAAUUCUAAACCUACACAUAAUUGUGCCUACUGUAUACUUACGACUAUUUUACAAAACUUUACAAAUGACCGCUAUACAUUGGUCUAUUAAAAAGUAAAAGCUAUAUACAAAGGAAUCUUAUCUUUUUGCUUUUAUCUUUGUCUACCACUUAUCUUUACAUAAUUUCAAACUUUCUUUUUAUCUUGUCUACCACCUUAUGUCCUUUGUUUGUAUCUGCUUUUGUCCUUGUUAUCUUUAUCUCUUUUUCUCCUCCAUCUUUUAUGAUUAUCUAUUUUUCUUUAUUCCAAAUCAACAUCUGGUAUAACCUUAUCUUCUCCAUUGCAUUUGAAACAUCUAUGAUAUGGAUAUUUGUGUCCAAUAAGUUUACAAUAUCUAAUUAAUAAGUCUUCUGAGAUAAAUUCUUUCUUUAAUGCUUGUGUUGUAGGUUGUUCCUCUGUCUUUAAUAAUGAAAAAAUUCAUCGCUGAACUUCAUCCAUAUCUGCUCUUCUUAAUUCCCUUGAGUUUGAAUUUAUCAUAACAUGAUCUCUAGAGUAAUAACUCCAUAUGGCAUUUUCAUUUAAAUAAUUAUUUGCUAAUUCUUGUAUGAUAGUUGAUACACCAAUUAUUCUUUUACUGGCAUAAAAACCUGGUAUUUCUAUCUUUGGUAUUUCAUUCUGAUGUCCAAUAUCUUCUGGUAUGAUCAUACCUUUUGUCAAUCCUAUCUUAAUAACAUGAAUUGGAGAUUUUACCUCCUCAUAUAAUAUUUCUGCUGGUGCUGUAUACAACUUAAUAUAAAAUAAGUUUCCUUUUGUAACUCUUUUAUGUGUAAUAAAUGCUUUGUAUAACUCUGGUAUUCCACUAAUUUCUUCUCCAUCAUAUGUAUAUACUGUACUUAGUAAUCCAUAAUUGUAACAUGUCUUAACUAGAUUAGCUUUUUUUUUUGUGCUCUAAGUCUAUUGUAUAUUUGUAAUUUUUGAGUUAUAUAGUCUUGACUUGGAUCUUUGGUUUGGUUACAUCUGGGUAGAGAAUUAAAUAAGUUUGGAUUCUAUAUAUCUUUUCAAUGUAGGUUUGUGUAAUAUAAUUGUAUCUUUUCUUUCACUCUGGUUUUGUAUACUCACUGCACAGGUAGAAGUUUGUGGUUCUAUGAGUAUUUGUUUUGAUGUAAUUUGAAUAAAUGGUUUUACAAAUAACUGGUUUAAAUUUGUAUUUCGUAGUUUUUCACUAACUUUUCUGCUUGUACCUGCAGCUGUAUUUAAAAAAACAUUAUGAUUUUUAGGGAUUUUUCCAUCGUCUCCUUUUAUCUCAGGAAUGUUACCGUCUUCUGAUCGUCGUAGCUCCGCAUUUUUAUAGUCAUGCUGCUGACUUAUAUUAGCUUUAGACUUCAGGUUAUCUUCAUUAGUCUUUAGCUUUUGUAUCUCAUUGUCCAUACUAUCCACUAUAGUACAAAGUGUAGUAAUGGCUUUAAGUCACUUUGUAAUUGUAUCUUCGUCUUUGUUCUUAGUCUGAGUAGCUUUGUCUUGAUAACUAGUUUGCAACACCAUUCUUAUUAGUCUUUAUCAAUUCAAUUGUAAAUGUAAAGUUUAAUAUAUUUAAUACCAAUCUUCUAAUUUCUUUUAUUG
RNAcentral lists this long non-coding RNA (5041 nucleotides) under Solanum lycopersicum (tomato). Its description in RNAcentral is "long non-coding RNA (SLYC_LNC000287)". The record is from RNAcentral. Lineage: Eukaryota; Viridiplantae; Streptophyta; Magnoliopsida; Solanales; Solanaceae.